AAUAAUGGUGGCUCAGGUGGGGGCUUCGAAAGAAGCACCGGUUUUCCUAGUGUGUCCGGUACGCUAACCCCGUCUGAGCUGCCACCCAA
This 89-nucleotide non-coding RNA is filed under the name Rahnella aquatilis. The record is from RNAcentral. Lineage: Bacteria; Pseudomonadati; Pseudomonadota; Gammaproteobacteria; Enterobacterales; Yersiniaceae. RNAcentral also lists the same sequence under 2 other names.